This 509-nucleotide ribosomal RNA is filed under the name Bacillus sp. V2S-024. Its description in RNAcentral is "bacterial SSU rRNA". It matches the Rfam family "Bacterial small subunit ribosomal RNA", at positions 1 to 496 of the family's 1533-position model. The record is from RNAcentral. Lineage: Bacteria; Bacillati; Bacillota; Bacilli; Caryophanales; Bacillaceae.
UUAGAGUUUGAUCCAUGGCUCAGGAUGAACGCUGGCGGCGUGCCUAAUACAUGCAAGUCGAGCGAACUGAUUAGAAGCUUGCUUCUAUGACGUUAGCGGCGGACGGGUGAGUAACACGUGGGCAACCUGCCUGUAAGACUGGGAUAACUUCGGGAAACCGAAGCUAAUACCGGAUAGGAUCUUCUCCUUCAUGGGAGAUGAUUGAAAGAUGGUUUCGGCUAUCACUUACAGAUGGGCCCGCGGUGCAUUAGCUAGUUGGUGAGGUAACGGCUCACCAAGGCAACGAUGCAUAGCCGACCUGAGAGGGUGAUCGGCCACACUGGGACUGAGACACGGCCCAGACUCCUACGGGAGGCAGCAGUAGGGAAUCUUCCGCAAUGGACGAAAGUCUGACGGAGCAACGCCGCGUGAGUGAUGAAGGCUUUCGGGUCGUAAAACUCUGUUGUUAGGGAAGAACAAGUACGAGAGUAACUGCUCGUACCUGGACGGACCUAACCAGAAAGCCACGC